Molecule: ribosomal RNA, 326 nt
Filed under: uncultured eukaryote
Lineage: Eukaryota
Description: partial 18S ribosomal RNA
Rfam family: Eukaryotic small subunit ribosomal RNA
Source: RNAcentral
CCCUCAGAUGUUCUGGGCCGCACGCGCGCUACACUGAUGCAUUCAACAAGCCUAGCCUUGACCGAGAGGUCCGGGUAAUCUUUGAAACUGCAUCGUGAUGGGGCUAGAUUAUUGCAAUUAUUAAUCUUCAACGAGGAAUGCCUAGUAAGCGUGAUUCAUCAAAUCGCGUUGAUUACGUCCCUGCCCUUUGUACACACCGCCCGUCGCUCCUACCGAUUGAAUGUGUUGGUGAGGAGCUCGGAUUGGCAGCAGUUGGUGGUUCGCCACCGGCUAUUGCUGAGAAGUCCUCCAAACCGCCCCAUUUAGAGGAAGGAGAAGUCGUAACA